GUGAGGAAUAUUGGUCAAUGGGCGAGAGCCUGGACCAGCCAAGUCGCGUGAAGGAAGACGGCCCUACGGGUUGUAAACUUCUUUUGCAAUGGAAUAAAAAGAGUUACGUGUAAUUCAUUGUAUGUACAUUGCGAAUAAGGAUCGGCUAACUCCGUGCCAGCAGCCGCGGUAAUACGGAGGAUCCGAGCGUUAUCCGGAUUUAUUGGGUUUAAAGGGUGCGUAGGCGGAUUGGAAAGUCAGCGGUGAAAGUUUGCAGCUUAACUGUAAAAUUGCCAUUGAAACUGUCAGUCUUGAGUGCAAAUGAGGUAGGCGGAAUGUGUUGUGUAGCGGUGAAAUGCAUAGAUAUAACACAGAACACCAAUUGCGAAGGCAGCUUACUGGGAUGCAACUGACGCUGAGGCACGAAAGCGUGGGGAUCAAACAGGAUUAGAUACCCUGGUAGUCC
RNAcentral lists this ribosomal RNA (445 nucleotides) under uncultured bacterium. RNAcentral's name for it is "partial 16S ribosomal RNA". It matches the Rfam family "Bacterial small subunit ribosomal RNA", at positions 354 to 796 of the family's 1533-position model. The record is from RNAcentral.